AGAAUCAACGCUGGCGGCGUGCCUCAGACAUGCAAGUCGAACGAUUAAAGCUCUCUUCGGAGAGUGUAUAGAGUGGCGCACGGGUGAGUAACACGUAAGUAAUCUACCUUCGAGUGGGGAAUAACGUUCGGAAACGAACGCUAAUACCGCAUAAUGCAGCGGCAUCGCAAGAUGACAGUUGUUAAAGGAUUUAUUUCGCUUGAAGAGGAGCUUGCGGCAGAUUAGCUAGUUGGUAAGUAACGGCUUACCAAGGCUACGAUCUGUAUCCGGUCUAAGAGGACGGUCGGACACACUGACACUGAAUAACGGGUCAGACU
RNAcentral lists this ribosomal RNA (317 nucleotides) under uncultured soil bacterium. Its description in RNAcentral is "bacterial SSU rRNA". It matches the Rfam family "Bacterial small subunit ribosomal RNA", at positions 26 to 337 of the family's 1533-position model. The record is from RNAcentral.